GGUCUUAGCUUGCUAAGGCCGAUGGCGACCGGCGCACGGGUGAGUAACACGUAUCCCCUUUGCCGUCUACUCUUGGACAGCCUUCUGAAAGGAAGAUUCAUACAAGAUGGCAUCAUGAGUCCACAUGUUCACAUGAUUAAAGGUAUUCCGGUAGACGAUGGGGAUGCGUUCCAUUAGAUAGUAGGCGGGGUAACGGCCCACCUAGUCUUCGAUGGAUAGGGGUUCUGAGAGGAAGGUCCCCCACAUUGGAACUGAGACACGGUCCAAACUCCUACGGGAGGCAGCAGUGAGGAAUAUUGGUCAAUGGGCGAGAGCCUGAACCAGCCAAGUAGCGUGAAGGAUGACUGCCCUAUGGGUUGUAAACUUCUUUUAUAAAGGAAUAAAGUCGGGUAUGGAUACCCGUUUGCAUGUACUUUAUGAAUAAGGAUCGGCUAACUCCGUGCCAGCAGCCGCGGUAAUACGGAGGAUCCGAGCGUUAUCCGGAUUUAUUGGGUUUAAAGGGAGCGUAGAUGGAUGUUUAAGUCAGUUGUGAAAGUUUGCGGCUCAACCGUAAAAUUGCAGUUGAUACUGGAUAUCUUGAGUGCAGUUGAGGCAGGCGGAAUUCGUGGUGUAGCGGUGAAAUGCUUAGAUAUCACGAAGAACUCCGAUUG
RNAcentral lists this ribosomal RNA (650 nucleotides) under uncultured Bacteroides sp. RNAcentral describes it as "bacterial SSU rRNA". It matches the Rfam family "Bacterial small subunit ribosomal RNA", at positions 71 to 715 of the family's 1533-position model. Lineage: Bacteria; Pseudomonadati; Bacteroidota; Bacteroidia; Bacteroidales; Bacteroidaceae. The record is from RNAcentral.